CCUACGGGAGGCAGCAGUGGGGAAUAUUGGACAAUGGGGGGAACCCUGAUCCAGCCAUGCCGCGUGUGUGAAGAAGGCCCUCGGGUUGUAAAGCACUUUCAGUGAGGAAGAACGCCUGGUGGUUAAUACCCAUCAGGAAAGACAUCACUCACAGAAGAAGCACCGGCUAACUCCGUGCCAGCAGCCGCGGUAAUACGGAGGGUGCGAGCGUUAAUCGGAAUUACUGGGCGUAAAGCGCGCGUAGGUGGCUUGAUAAGCCGGUUGUGAAAGCCCCGGGCUCAACCUGGGAACGGCAUCCGGAACUGUCAAGCUAGAGUGCAGGAGAGGAAGGUAGAAGUCCCGGUGUAGCGGUGAAAUGCGUAGAGAUCGGGAGGAAUACCAGUGGCGAAGGCGGCCUUCUGGACUGACACUGACACUGAGGUGCGAAAGCGUGGGUAGCAAACAGGAUUAGAUACCCCGGUAGUC
RNAcentral lists this ribosomal RNA (465 nucleotides) under Vreelandella stevensii. RNAcentral describes it as "partial 16S ribosomal RNA". It matches the Rfam family "Bacterial small subunit ribosomal RNA", at positions 338 to 795 of the family's 1533-position model. The record is from RNAcentral. Lineage: Bacteria; Pseudomonadati; Pseudomonadota; Gammaproteobacteria; Oceanospirillales; Halomonadaceae.